RNAcentral lists this long non-coding RNA (515 nucleotides) under Chrysolophus pictus (golden pheasant). Its description in RNAcentral is "lncRNA (ENSCPIG00010009542.1)". Lineage: Eukaryota; Metazoa; Chordata; Aves; Galliformes; Phasianidae. The record is from RNAcentral.
GGGGUCAGGAGGUCAGGAGGUGGGGGGGUGGAAGGGGGGGCUCAUAUGGGACCAAAUGGAGCAGGAGGUGGUGGUGGGUUCUCAUAUGGGAUGAUACGGACCAGAAAAUGGUGGUGGGGGCUUCUAUGGAACCAUACGGACCAGAAGGUGGCGGUGGGUUCCCAUAUGGGACCAGCAGGUGGCGGUGGUGGCAUAUAUGGGACCAUCAGAUGGUGGUGGGGGCUCAUAUGGGACCAGGAGAUCGUGGUGGGUUCUCAUAUGGGACCAUCAGAUGGUGGUGGGUUCUCAUAUGGGACCAGAAAAUUGUGCUGAGGGCUCAUAUGGGACCAUAUGGACCUGGAGAUCGUGGUAGGUUCUCAUAUGGGACCAUCAGAUGGCGGUGGGGGCUCAUGUGGGACCAUAUGGACCAGGAGAUCGUGGUGGGUUCUCAUAUGGGACCAUAUGGGGGCUCACAUAGAACCAUAUGGACCAGAGAUGGUGGUGGGCUCUCAUAUGGGACCAGCAGAUUGCGCUGA